GAUGAACGCUGGCGGCGUGCCUAAUACAUGCAAGUCGAGCGAACAGACGAGGAGCUUGCUCCUCUGACGUUAGCGGCGGACGGGUGAGUAACACGUGGAUAACCUACCUAUAAGACUGGGAUAACUUCGGGAAACCGGAGCUAAUACCGGAAAAUAUAUUGAACCGCAUGGUUCAAUAGUGAAAGACGGUUUUGCUGUCACUUAUAGAUUGAUCCGCGCCGCAUUUGCUGGUUUGUAAGGUAACGGCUUACCAAGGCAACGAUUCGUAGCCGAGCUGCGAGGGUGAUCGGCCACACUGGAACUGGGAAACGGUCCAAACUCCUACGGGAGGCAGCAGGAGGGAAUCUUCCGCAAUGGGCGAAGGGUUGACGGAGCAACGCCGCGUGAGGUAUGAAGGUCUUCGGAUCUUAAAACUCUGUUAUUAGGGAAGAACAAAUGUGUAAGUAACUAUGCACGUCUUGACGGUACCUAAUCAGAAAGCCACGGCUAACUACGUU
This 497-nucleotide ribosomal RNA is filed under the name uncultured bacterium. Its description in RNAcentral is "partial 16S ribosomal RNA". It matches the Rfam family "Bacterial small subunit ribosomal RNA", at positions 28 to 507 of the family's 1533-position model. The record is from RNAcentral.